Molecule: long non-coding RNA, 7837 nt
Filed under: Malus domestica (apple)
Lineage: Eukaryota; Viridiplantae; Streptophyta; Magnoliopsida; Rosales; Rosaceae
Description: long non-coding RNA (MDOM_LNC001812)
Source: RNAcentral
AUGCCUAGUCAAUGUUUAUGAUUUCCGUUGAACUUAAUGAUCUUUGUUGAAUGUCUCUAUCAUUCGUAUUCCAUAGUUAGGGACUUUGAUGAGGAAUAAUUUGGUUGUAAUGCGUAUUCCAUUCAAUCCAAUGAAUCUAGGGAAAUCUAAGAGUUAAUUUAAGCGGACCUAAUUAACUUGGAACAUUGUCAUUCAUCGUUUGUUGAAGUCAUAACUGGGAAUCAAAUUAUAUGCAUAUGUUCAUGUGUGGAUAAGGAACCCUCUAACUAGUUUCUCAUCAUUCUAUUUCAUCACAAUCUGUUUUGUUUUAAGUUUAUUUUCAAAGUUUAAAGUUUUAAAGUUCAAUUUUCGUCAAAACAAAACCCCUUGCUUUUAAGUCUUGCUUUUAGAGUCAAAACUUGUUUCCUUUAAAUCUUUUGAGUCUUUUUAAAGUUAUAUUUUCGUCCAAAUCACUUGUUAGGUCUAGAAUUGAAUCUUUUUUAUUGUUAUUUGCUGUUUUGAGUGUUUUAAGUUAGUUUUGAGUUUAUAGAGUCUAGUUUAGUGUUUUUGAGUCUUAUAUUUGUUGAUUAGCAUCCCUAGUUAAUCCCCGGUCUAGAACGAUCCCUACUUACAUCAUUACUACAAUUGUCAUCAAUAGGGUUUAAUUUGUGUGUCAAGUAAUUUUCACAUCAAAUUUUGGCGCCGUUGCCAGGGAUUGGCAAAAAUUGCUAAUCCCUUGUGUUUUUGCCGUGUGUUUUUAGUGUAAUUUACCUAGUUUUCUUAUUUUGUUUUGUUUUCUUGGUUUAGGUACUAAUGCAUGACGCGGAGUUCUCAAACUGUGCAUAUCUUGGACUUUAACGACGAUUUUGAACGUGAUUUGAGAAGAAAGAGGAGGCAUCCCAAACCUAGUGAACCUAGUUCAAGUUCAGAGGCCGAAUCUGAGUUUGAAGAAGUGAAAGAAGAAGUUAUGGCAGUGGACAAUCGGACCAUUAAAGAGCUUUCGGCCUCGGGGUUGACCAAUGCCGCACCAUUAUGCAUUCAAUACCCCGCGGCUGCCCAAGGCAAGACCGAUGAAUUCGAGUUGAAGUCAAGCUUGUUGCACCACAUUCCGAAAUACCAUGGUCUUUCCAUGGAAGAGCCCAACAAGCAUCUCAAGGAAUUCGAGGUUGUUUGUUCGAGCAUGACACCCAUAAAUGUCGACGGGAAUAUUCUGAUGAUGAAGGCUUUUCCAUUCUCACUUUUGGAAAAGGCGAAGGAUUGGCUUUACGAGUUAGCACCCGGAACGGUUACAUCUUGGGAUAGUAUGAAAAGAGCUUUCUUGGAGAAGUUUUUCCCAACUUAAAGAGUCAUUCUCUUGAGGAAACGGAUUAGUGGCAUCCAACAAGAUCAAGGUGAAUCGUUUCCUUCUUAUUAUGAACGUUUUAAAUCACUUGUUGCUUCUUGUCCACAGCAUCAAAUGAAGGAGGAGCUGCUCAUUCAAUACUUCUACGAAGGACUCCUUCCCAUGGAACGCCAAAUGCUUGAUGCCUCGGCAGGAGGUGCGUUGGUGGAUAAAACUCCGGGGGCUGCAAAAGUUCUAAUUGCCAACCGAGCACAUAAUGCACAACAAUACGAAGGUGUUGGACAAAGAGACCCCCCACGGCCACAAGUGAAUGAGGUAAGUUCUAUGCCCGAAAUUCAAUCCUAAUUAGCUAACCUUACUUCUAUUGUUUCUCAGUUGGCCGAGGGAAUGAAGAUUCAUGGACCAAGUGUGUGUGGCGUGUGCUCUAUGCAAGGACAUGCCAAUGAUCAAUGCCCUCAAUUGAUUGAGAAUGGGGGUUGGGAAUCUGCCAAUGCCGUGGGUUUUGGGAACCAAAAUCAACCACGCCAUGAUCCAUACUCUAAUACCUACAAUCCGGGGUGGAGGGACCAUCCAAAUUUCAAAUGGCGGGAUCCUCAACAAACCCAACAACAAGGAGGAUUUAGGCAGCAACAACCUGGAGGAUUUGCAGCAACCACUUGGCUUUUAUACAAAGCCAUUCGUCCCCAAUCAAAACCAAGUGCAAUCUGCCCCAACAACCUCAGGUAUGUCUUUGGAUAAUGAUCAAGUUGUUAAGUUACUUACUACUUUGACGCAGGAAGUACAAACUCAAAAUAAGGAGAGACAAAUCCAAGACAAACGGGUGGACAAUUUGGAGAAGCAAUGGGUGGGUCAAAAAUUGCCGAAUUUAUGGGGCAAAUUAGAGAACAAGGCAGAUUGCCUAGUUCAACCGUUAUAUGAACCCGAAGAGGAGGAUUUGAAACCGCUAAGGCCAUCAUGUAAAAAAAGUGGGUAAACAGGUUGGAACGGACUCAAAUACAUCCAAAUCAAGUCAAGACGAGAAUGACAAGUUGCUGUAAGAAGAAGCACAUGGAGCAAAGCCCAAGGCCAAGGAUGACCAAACCUUGCCGAAUUCAUCUAGUCCUCCUAAACCGUCCCAAACCACCAAGGUAAGUCCCAAUUCAACUUUUUCUAGUUCUAUUCCACUAAAUGUGCCCUUUCCUGGCAGGUUUAAGCAAUCAAAGAAGGAAGAAGCCGAGAAGGACAUUCUAGAGACCUUUCGGAAAGUUCAAGUCAAUAUCCCGCUCCUUGAUGCGAUUAAGCAAGUCCCGAGGUAUGCUAAGUUUUUAAAAGAACUUUGUACAACAAGGAGAAGGAUUUCGAACAAAGAGGUGGUUCAAGAUUUUCUCGAUUGUUUGGAGAGGGAUACACUUGAAACAACAAUUGCACAAGGAAUUGGGCAAAAAUCUGGUUUUGCCGUGCCUAGAAGUGUGGAGGAGGCCAAGAUAGUGGCUGCCCUUGAGUCACUACCUCAAUAUCAUGCAUUGAAGUAUUUGUUCACCAAGAAGGAAGCCAAACCACGACUCAUUCGUUGGAUGCUUCUUCUCCAAGAGUUCGAUAUCGAAAUCCGGGAUAAAAAGGGAAGUGAAAACGUGGUGGCUGACCACUUGAGCCGUAUGGUGCAUGAAGAGGAUGCCGUGCCUAUCAUAGAGACAUUCCCAGAUGAGCAACUGAUGUCCGUCAAGGUAAGUGAACCUUGGUAUGCUGAUUUGGUGAAUUAUUUGGUGUCUAAACAUGUUCCUAGUGAAUUACUUAAACACCAAUGUGAUAAAUUGAAGAAAGAGGCACGGUUUUAUGUGUGGGAUAACCCGUAUUUAUGGAAAUAUUGCCCUGACCAAGUUAUACGUAGGUGUGUGCACGAUUCUAAGUUUAAUGCUAUUCUAACCUUUUGUCACACUUAUGCUUGUGGGGGACACUUUGGCACUCAAAGAACAGCACUUAAGGUGUUCGAAUGUGGUUUCUAUUGGCCUACCAUCUUUAGGGAUGCUAGAACAUUUUGCAUGUUUUGUGAUAGAUGCCAAAGAACGGGCAAUAUUGGUCCUAAACAACAAAUGCCGCAAACCCCCAUUUUUAGUGUUGAAAUCUUUGAUGUUUGGGGUAUUGAUUUUAUGGGUCCCUUUCCUUCGUCACAAGGGUUUCUUUAUAUAUUGCUUGUUGUGGACUAUGUGUCGAAAUGGGUGGAAGCAAAAGCCACCCGAACUAAUAAUUCUCGAGUGGUUGCAGAUUUUGUGAAAACUAACAUUUUUGCAAGGUUUGGAAUGCCACGAGUGCUAAUCAGUGAUGGAGGUUCCCAUUUUUGUAAUCGAACCAUCGAGACGUUGCUCAAGAAAUACAAUGUCACGCAUAAGGUGGCCACACCUUAUCAUCCUCAAACGAGCGGGCAAACCAGGUUUCAAAUAGGGAAAUCAAGUAGAUUCUUGAGAAGACUGUGGGGCCUACAAGGAAGGAUUGGAAUUUGCGCUUAAACGAUGCAUUGUGGGCGUAUCGCACUGCCUACAAAACCCCUAUUGGGAUGUCACCUUUUCGACUCAUCUAUGGGAAGCCAUGCCAUCUUCCUGUCGAGUUAGAGCAUCGUGCACAUUGGGCCGUCAAAACGUUCAAUUUGGACCUUAAUGCCGCAGGUUUACAUAGAAAGCUUCAAAUGUGUGAACUUGAUGAAAUCCGAAAUGAAGCAUAUGAGAAUGCCCGGAUUUACAAGGAGAAAACGAAGGCAUUCCAUGACAAGAUGAUUCGUGCCAAGACGUUCUCUAUUGGGCAGAAAGUGUUAUUGUUCAAUUCUCGCCUUCGGUUGUUUCCGGGUAAGUUGCGUUCCAAAUGGGUUGGUCCUUUUAUUGUCACUAAUGUUUUCCCUCAUGGUGCAGUGCAAAUCAAAAGUUCAAGGACGCAGCAAGAAUUCAAAGUGAAUGGGCAUCGAUUGAAGCCCUAUUACGAGAUGUUUGAGGAGCAUGUCGUGGAGGAGGUACCCCUCCAUGCCGUGGAACCUAGUCAAGCUUAAACGGAGGUACCGUCCGGCUGAAAGACGUUAAAGCAAGCGUUUCUUGGGAGGCAACCCAUGUGUUGAAACACGAGAAGAAGGAACUUUCACUCCAAACCCAGAUUUGCGUCCCUAACCUAUCUCUUUAUUGCUAUUACUUUGCCAUUUGUGUUAUGUUUGCUAUUUGUGUUAGUUGAUUGUUUUUGUGUUAAUCUAUGUUUAAAACAUUGAGGACAAUGUUUGGUUUAAGUGUGGGGGGGUAAACAAGCUAUUUUUGCAUGAAAUUCGUGGGAUUUUAUCACCUAUCACUUCACAUGUUGUUUCUCACUGUUUUAAAGUGUUUUUAGUGUUUUGAUGUGUUUUAGUGUUAUAUAACAGAAAACCCUAGAAAAAUUCGAAAAAGUUUGAAAAAUACCAAAAAGAGUCGUUUUUGAGUCAUUUUUGUGUUUUAGGGUACCUUCCAACACAAUGAUGAGGAUUUGGUUUUUAAUUGCAUAACUGUUGAAGUAAGUUACAAUCAUGGAUGAAAGUUUGAUAUGCUCUUUGGUUUAUGCUUAGUUGUAAUUCAUGAAUUCACAUGUAAUCAAAAGAAAAAUUAGUUUUUGUAACAUGCUUGAAGGAAGAAACUCAAACUAACGCUACAACCCUGAGAGACUUGAGCUUUUAACGUUCUUUGGAGAGUUAAUAAUCUGUGCAUUUGUUGUCUUCUAAAGUCGUUGCAUGAUCUCAUUAUUCUUUGCUUGGUUACUACUUAGAAGGCGUUUCAUCAUUUAGUUCCAAAUACUAGAACUCAUACCCGUUUCAUUCAAAGCAUAAAAUUGAUUCGCAUAACACAUAACAAGAUGAAGUUGUUAGUAAACCAAGAACCAAAUAGCCGCACCCCAUGUUCAUUUGUUUUGUAGGUUUAAGCCCCGUUGAGCCUUGUUUAGCCUAUGUUCUUUGUUAACCCACGUUAUCCUUACCUAGCCUAGAAUAGGACCAUCCAUGCCUUUGUUCUUAAAGCAUAGUGAACAUGACUUAGAAUGAAUUCCUUUUGAUUAUUCUUGUGCAGAAAAACAAGUGUGGGGGAAGGAAUUUAUGUGUGGGAAUUUGUGCCAAAAGCAAGAAUUGGGUACGAGAAAAAAAAAAAAAAAAAUUAUGGCAAAAGAGGUCAAAAUAAGAAAGAACUCACAAGUGUUGGUUGUUGAAGAAAGGGUCCAAAAAGUUAAAUUAGACCCUAAAUAUUGUGUAUUUCACCCCCUUGUGUGUCUAAGUGAUUUUCUGCACGCAAAAGUGAAUUCUAAGUGUCAAAUUCAUUACUUGUUUGCUAUCGCUUUAAGAACUUUUGUUUAUCCUUAACCUUUCUUUGUUAGCCAAUACCCCUUAGCCCCGUUACAAUCCUUAACUUCUAUCUUGAGUGUUAUUAUGUAUUUCAAUAUGUGGAGUUUGGGAUUGGUUUGAGCAUAUGGUGUCCCUGGUUCUCGCAUCUAAGUAGUAGCGUUCCAUUCAUGAGAUCAUAUCUAUAAAUGCUUAAUCAUUCCAGAAAAGUGCUUCUUUUAUAACAUGUGUGAGUGUUCGUUUCCAUGUUUACAUCAAUCUUCUCACAUAUACUUAGUAUAGGGAGUGUAGUUAGAAAAUCUGUGUGAAAAUAAGAGUGUAUCCAGUAAGGAAUUGAGUGGAUUCUCUAAGGCAUGUUACUACGUCCAUAAUGUUGUUUUAAACGAUUAAAUGUGAGCUAGUGAAUGGUAACUAUGAUUAAGUAUAUGCUCAAAGAGUAGGGAUGACUAAAAUCUGUGGGAAUAAUGAUCUUUGGCAUGUUAUGUAUCGUUGGAAAUCCCUGUAGCAAAUGUUGGAAGGUUAGGUUAUGUUUUGUUUGUUUUAUUUUGCUCGAGGACUAGCAAAAGCUAAGUGUGGGGGAAAUUGAUAGGAGCAUAUUUAUACGACUUAGUUAGCUUGUUUUCUUGCUUUUAAUUAGCUAAACUAUGAUAAUUAUAGUGUUUAAAGUUAUUUUCGUGCAAUUUCAGGUUUUAGUGUCAAAGUAUGCAAAAAGAAGCAAUUUGGAACAUUCUAGAGUAUUUUUGGGCCAAGAUUGGAUUGUGCAAGCAUGGAGGCAUAAGGAUGGACAAAUUUGAAGACAAAAGAGGCUAUGAACAUGCUAAAAAUCUGGUGAAACAAAUACAAGUUGCAAGAAGGGAUAAAUUUCUAGAAGGAUUGACCAAAACUUCACUCAAAACCAAGAAAUUCUUCAAUGCCGUGGGCAUUGAUUCACUUUCACCAGAAAUUUGAGUGAUGAUGCAAUGCUUAAAUCACCAUGACAUGUGAGUGGAUGAUGCAAUGCUUAACUCACCAUGACAUGUGAAUGGAUGACUCAAUACCUAACCCACCAACAAUUCCCACUCUUUGUCGUGCUCACCUACUCAAUUCCACCAGAAUUUUGUGUUAAACAAGUCCAUCCUUUUCCUAUAAAUACCAUGGCAGCAACCUCAUUCAAAUCAUCCAGAAAUUAACCAUUCUCCAAGCCUUCCCUUGCCUCUCCCUACAUAUCUAAACCUUCCCCAUCCAUUCCUCCAUAUAACCAACCAUUCAACCACCAUAACCACCUUGUGCCGCCACCAUUGAAGGAGAGGAGGAGUAGUGCCGUGCUUAUGCAAUCUGCAACUAUUAGAGUGUUUGGAAUUCUUUCUUCUUUUAAUUCUAUGUUCAUGUUUAAUUUAACUUGCUGUUCAAUUAUGUUAAACAUGUGGAACUAAUUUCUUUUUAGUUAGAGGCAAAUUUGAAGCCAUGGACAUAUGUUGGUUAUGAUUUGUUUUACUCCAGUUAUGAAUUCAUGAACUUUAGAUGUGGUUUACUUUUCUGUUUUGAUUAAGAACUUGUUUAUGUAUGUGGGUUGAGGGUCGACACUUAAUUUGCAUGCCUAAACUUGAUGCUAGGAUAUAAGGGAAUUUCACCUAAUCGUUAUGAACUUAUAUUCAUGAGUAGUAAAGAUCGCUAGUCACGAUUGUGUUUAAGUAAACCCUAGGCUGGAUUAACAUGCGUAUUCCAUAGUUAUGAAUGCCUAGUCAAUGUUUAUGAUUUCCGUUGAACUUAAUGAUCUUUGUUGAAUGUCUCUAUCAUGCGUAUUCCAUAGUUAGGGACUUUGAUGAGGAAUAAUUUGGUUGUAAUGCGUAUUCCAUUCAAUCCAAUGAAUCUAGGGAAAUCUAAGAGUUAAUUUAAGCGGACCUAAUUAACUUGGAACAUUGUCAUUCAUCGUUUGUUGAAGUCAUAAUUGGGAAUCAAAUUAUAUGCAUAUGUUCAUGUGUGGAUAAGGAACCCUCUAACUAGUUUCUCAUCAUUCUAUUUCAUCACAAUCUGUUUUGUUUUAAGUUUAUUUUCAAAGUUUAAAGUUUUAAAGUUCAAUUUUCGUCAAAACAAAACCCCUUGCUUUUAAGUCUUGCUUUUAGAGUCAAAACUUGUUUCCUUUAAAUCUUUUGAGUCUUUUAAAGUUAUAUUUUCGUCCAAAUCACUUGUUAGGUCUAGAAUUGAAUCUUUUUUAUUGUUAUUUGCUG